RNAcentral lists this transfer RNA (71 nucleotides) under Ventrifossa garmani (Sagami grenadier). Its description in RNAcentral is "tRNA-Trp". It matches the Rfam family "tRNA". From Rfam's summary of the family: Transfer RNA (tRNA) molecules are approximately 80 nucleotides in length. Their secondary structure includes four short double-helical elements and three loops (D, anti-codon, and T loops). Further hydrogen bonds mediate the characteristic L-shaped molecular structure. tRNAs have two regions of fundamental functional importance: the anti-codon, which is responsible for specific mRNA codon recognition, and the 3' end, to which the tRNAs corresponding amino acid is attached (by aminoacyl-tRNA synthetases). tRNAs cope with the degeneracy of the genetic code in two manners: having more than one tRNA (with a specific anti-codon) for a particular amino acid; and 'wobble' base-pairing, i.e. permitting non-standard base-pairing at the 3rd anti-codon position. The record is from RNAcentral. Lineage: Eukaryota; Metazoa; Chordata; Actinopteri; Gadiformes; Macrouridae.
AGGGGUUUAGGUUAAGUAUAAACCAAGAGCCUUCAAAGCUCUCAAUGGAGGCUACAUCCCUUCAACCCUUG